UGAUGAAAACAUUUAAUGUGCCAAAUUGG
RNAcentral lists this non-coding RNA (29 nucleotides) under Mus musculus (house mouse). The record is from RNAcentral. Lineage: Eukaryota; Metazoa; Chordata; Mammalia; Rodentia; Muridae.